Molecule: ribosomal RNA, 741 nt
Filed under: uncultured marine bacterium
Lineage: Bacteria
Description: bacterial SSU rRNA
Rfam family: Bacterial small subunit ribosomal RNA
Source: RNAcentral
GCAAGUCGAACGAAGUAGCAAUACUUAGUGGCAGACGGGUGAGUAACAUGUAGGUAUCUGCCCUUUGGCCUGGAAUAACACGAGGAAACUUGUGCUAAUACCGGAUAAGUCUUUACGGAGAAAGCUUUAUGCACCAUUGGAUGAGCCUGCACUUGAUUAGUUUGUUGGUGGGGUAAUGGCCUACCAAGACUGUGAUCAAUAGCUGAUUUGAGAGGAUGAUCAGCCACACUGGGACUGAGACACGGCCCAAACUCCUACAGGAGGCAGCAGUGGGGAAUCUUGCACAAUGGAGGAAACUCUGAUGCAGCGAUGCCGCGUGAGUGAAGAAGGCCCUUGGGUUGUAAAGCUCUUUCGUCGGGGAAGAAAAUGACUGUACCCGAAUAAGAAGGUCCGGCUAACUUCGUGCCAGCAGCCGCGGUAAUACGAAGGGACCUAGCGUAGUUCGGAAUUACUGGGCUUAAAGAGUUCGUAGGUGGUUGAAAAAGUUGGUGGUGAAAUCCCAGGGCUUAACUCUGGAACUGCCAUCAAAACUUUUCAGCUAGAGUAUGAUAGAGGAAAGCAGAAUUUCUAGUGUAGAGGUGAAAUUCGUAGAUAUUAGAAAGAAUACCAAUUGCGAAGGCAGCUUUCUGGAUCAUUACUGACACUGAGGAACGAAAGCAUGGGUAGCGAAGAGGAUUAGAUACCCUCGUAGUCCAUGCCGUAAACGAUGUGUGUUAGACGUUGGAAAUUUAUUUUCAGUGU